RNAcentral lists this ribosomal RNA (332 nucleotides) under Acanthamoeba sp. MMN-2011/T4. RNAcentral describes it as "SSU rRNA". It matches the Rfam family "Eukaryotic small subunit ribosomal RNA", at positions 794 to 1080 of the family's 1831-position model. The record is from RNAcentral. Lineage: Eukaryota; Discosea; Longamoebia; Acanthamoebidae.
CCCGAAUACAUUAGCAUGGGAUAAUGGAAUAGGACCCUGUCCUCCUAUUUUCAGUUGGUUUUGGCAGCGCGAGGACUAGGGUAAUGAUUAAUAGGGAUAGUUGGGGGCAUUAAUAUUUAAUUGUCAGAGGUGAAAUUCUUGGAUUUAUGAAAGAUUAACUUCUGCGAAAGCAUCUGCCAAGGAUGUUUUCAUUAAUCAAGAACGAAAGUUAGGGGAUCGAAGACGAUCAGAUACCGUCGUAGUCUUAACCAUAAACGAUGCCGACCAGCGAUUAGGAGACGUUGAAUACAAAACACCACCAUCGGCGCGGUCGUCCUUGGCGUCGGUCCUUC